Molecule: ribosomal RNA, 1268 nt
Filed under: Chlorops oryzae
Lineage: Eukaryota; Metazoa; Arthropoda; Insecta; Diptera; Chloropidae
Description: 16S ribosomal RNA
Source: RNAcentral
UUUUAUUUAAGUAAUUUAUAAUGAAAUUAUAAUAUUAAUUAUAGUGUAUUAGUAUUGUAAAAGAAAAUUUAAAUAAUUUGAAAAAUUUUUAUUUAGAAAGUAAAUAUAAUUAAUUGUACCUUGUGUAUCAGGGUUUAUUAAUUAAUUAAUAAAUUUUUAUUUUUCUCGAAUUUAUAAGAGUUAAUGAAUUAUGUAAGUUAAUGUUAUAAAAUUAUUUUUUAUAAUUCAUUAGAAAUGAAAAGUUAUUCGUUUAUAAAUAUAUCUAGUUUUUUAAGAAAUAAAUUUAAUUUAGAAUUUUUAAAUAUAUUUGAUUAAUUUUUUAAUUAAAUAUUUUAAAAAUUUAGUAUUUUAUGGGAUAAGCUGUAGAAUAAAUUUUUAUAAAAUAUUAAUAGUAUUUUAUUAUUAUAUGUUUAGAAUUAGCAAUUAAUAAAAAUUUUGUUAUAAAUUAUUUAAUGAAAUGUAUUAUUUAUUUAUUUUUAAAUUUUUAUUAAAAUAAUUAUUUUAAUUUAAAAAAUAAUAUAAUAAUGAUAAAAUUAGUAUAUAUCUAUAUUUUGUUAUAUUAAAAUUUUAUGAAAAGUUUAUGUAAAGAAUUCGGCAAAAUUAAUAUUCGCCUGUUUAACAAAAACAUGUCUUUUUGUAAUAUAUAAAAAGUCUAACCUGCCCAUUGAAUUAUUUAACGGCCGCAGUAUAUUAACUGUGCAAAGGUAGCAUAAUCAUUAGUCUUUUAAUUGAAGGAUGGAAUGAAUGGUUGGACGAAAUAUUAACUGUUUCAUAUAAAUUUAAAAUAGAAUUUAAUUUUUUAGUUAAAAAGCUUAAAUUUUUUUAAAAGACGAGAAGACCCUAUAAAUCUUUAUAUUGAUUAUUAUAUUAGUUUUUAAAGUAAGUUUUAUUAUUAUAUUAAUUUAUAUUUUAUUGGGGUGAUAGUAAAAUUUGAAAAACUUUUAUUUUAUUUUUUACAUUAAUUUAUGAAUUAUUGAUCCAGUAUUAUUGAUUAAAAAAUUAAGUUACUUUAGGGAUAACAGCAUAAUAUUUUUGGAGAGUUCUUAUUGAUAAAAAUGAUUGUGACCUCGAUGUUGGAUUAAGAUAUAAUUUUAGGUGCAGUAGCUUAAAUUUUAAGUCUGUUCGACUUUUAAAUUCUUACAUGAUCUGAGUUCAAACCGGUGUAAGCCAGGUUGGUUUCUAUCUUUAAUAAAUUAAAAUAUUUUAGUACGAAAGGAUUAAAUAUUUAAUUGUUUAUAAUUUUAUUAAAAUUCAUUUUAAUAAUAUUA